RNAcentral lists this non-coding RNA (29 nucleotides) under Mus musculus (house mouse). The record is from RNAcentral. Lineage: Eukaryota; Metazoa; Chordata; Mammalia; Rodentia; Muridae.
UGGGUAGGCCACAUACGGGUAUGAGUAGA